GAACAAUAGAUGGCAAAAGAAGAAGGGGACGGCAGAGAAUGAGGUGGCUAGAUGGAGUCACUGAAGAAGUCGGUGUGAGCCUAAGUGGACUCCAGGGGAUGGUGGACCAAAGGAACGCCUGGAGGAAUGUGUCCAUGAGGUCGCGGUGGGUUGGACAUGACUUCACGACUAACAACAACAA
Varanus komodoensis (Komodo dragon) is the source of this 181-nucleotide long non-coding RNA. RefSeq lists it as uncharacterized. NCBI's taxonomy places the organism in Eukaryota, Metazoa, Chordata, Lepidosauria, Squamata, Varanidae. The transcript has 2 exons. The record is from RefSeq and is a predicted model, not a curated record.